Molecule: ribosomal RNA, 396 nt
Filed under: uncultured bacterium
Lineage: Bacteria
Description: partial 16S ribosomal RNA
Rfam family: Bacterial small subunit ribosomal RNA
Source: RNAcentral
AUACGUAGGGGGCGAGCGUUGUCCGGAAUGAUUGGGCGUAAAGGGCGCGUAGGCGGCCCGGUAAGUCUGGAGUGAAAGUCCUGUUUUUAAGAUGGGAAUUGCUUUGGAUACUGUCGGGCUUGAGUGCAGGAGAGGUAAGUGGAAUUCCCAGUGUAGCGGUGAAGUGCGUAGAGAUUGGGAGGAACACCAGUGGCGAAGGCGACUUACGGGACGGUAACUGACGCUGAGGAGCGAAAGCGUGGGGAGCAAACAGGAUUAGAUACCCUGGUAGGCCACGCCGUAAACGAUGAAUACUAGGUGUAGGGGGUAUCGACUCCCUCUGUGCCGCAGUUAACACAAUAAGUAUUCCGCCUGGGGAGUACGGCCGCAAGGUUGAAACUCAAAUGAAUUGGCGGG